Molecule: ribosomal RNA, 446 nt
Filed under: uncultured Pelotomaculum sp.
Lineage: Bacteria; Bacillati; Bacillota; Clostridia; Eubacteriales; Desulfotomaculaceae
Description: bacterial SSU rRNA
Rfam family: Bacterial small subunit ribosomal RNA
Source: RNAcentral
UGCCUACGGGUGGCUGCAGUGGGGAAUCUUCCGCAAUGGGCGCAAGCCUGACGGAGCAACGCCGCGUGAGUGAUGAAGGCCUUCGGGUUGUAAAACUCUGUCUUCAGGGAAGAAAAAAAUGACGGUACCUGAGGAGGAAGCCCCGGCUAACUACGUGCCAGCAGCCGCGGUAAAACGUAGGGGGCAAGCGUUGUCCGGAAUUACUGGGCGUAAAGGGCGCGUAGGCGGUUAUUUAAGUCAGAGGUGAAAACUCUGGGCUCAACUCAGAGCCUGCCUCUGAAACUGGGUGACUUGAGGGCAGGAGAGGGGAGUGGAAUUCCCAGUGUAGCGGUGAAAUGCGUAGAUAUUGGGAGGAACACCAGUGGCGAAGGCGACUCUCUGGCCUGUUACUGACGCUGAGGCGCGAAAGCGUGGGGAGCAAACGGGAUUAGAUACCCGGGUAGUCC